Molecule: ribosomal RNA, 466 nt
Filed under: Vreelandella stevensii
Lineage: Bacteria; Pseudomonadati; Pseudomonadota; Gammaproteobacteria; Oceanospirillales; Halomonadaceae
Description: partial 16S ribosomal RNA
Rfam family: Bacterial small subunit ribosomal RNA
Source: RNAcentral
CCUACGGGAGGGCAGCAGUGGGGAAUAUUGGACAAUGGGCGAAAGCCUGAUCCAGCCAUGCCGCGUGUGUGAAGAAGGCCUUCGGGUUGUAAAGCACUUUCAGUGGGGAAGAAAGCCUUGGGGCUAAUACCCUCGAGGAAGGACAUCACCCACAGAAGAAGCACCGGCUAACUCCGUGCCAGCAGCCGCGGUAAUACGGAGGGUGCGAGCGUUAAUCGGAAUUACUGGGCGUAAAGCGCGCGUAGGCGGUCUGAUAAGCCGGUUGUGAAAGCCCCGGGCUCAACCUGGGAACGGCAUCCGGAACUGUCAGGCUAGAGUGCAGGAGAGGAAGGUAGAAUUCCCGGUGUAGCGGUGAAAUGCGUAGAGAUCGGGAGGAAUACCAGUGGCGAAGGCGGCCUUCUGGACUGACACUGACGCUGAGGUGCGAAAGCGUGGGUAGCAAACAGGAUUAGAUACCCUUGUAGUC